CUCUUCACAGCUCUCUCAUAGGAAGGAUGGAUUCGGGAAACCUGCAGCACUGACCUCACCGACCCCACAGGAGAGUGAGUUACUGCAGCACACAGUUUUAUUCUCUUCUGGGCUCCUGGGUAGACCACUCCACUGGCCAGCUGGAAGAGUCCCCUAUACUUCUCCAGCCUGGGAAACCUAAUAGCUAGUAUUCGGACAUUUUUUUUUUCAUUAUAAUUCAGAUUAUCAACAAUUCCAUAACUGUGGCAUUCCCUUGUCAAAAUACAGGUGUUUUUGUCAAGUAUUUUAAGUCUAGUGGGGCAUGGUUGUACAUGCCUGUCAUCCCAGCAACUUGGGAGGCUGAGGCAGGAGGAUGGCAAGUUUGAGGCCAAAGUCAGUAAUUUAGCAAGGCCUUAAGCAACAUAGUAAAAACCUGCCCCGAAAUGAAAAAUAAAGGACUAGCAAUGUGGCUCAAUGGUUAAGCACCACUAAAUUCAACCCGAUUAAAAAAAAAAAAUGGAAUUUAAAAUACUUAGGGAAAAUAUCACACACAUACUAGAUGCAUGAGCAAACGGCCUCAUCAUAUUCAACAAAACAAAGUUGUAGGCCAAAGAGUCACUUGGCAUUGAAAAAUCAUGUGGAUAUCCCUGAAGAUUAGAUCACAUUGGGAUUAUGACUAUGUAUGUGGUGCUCCUCCU
RNAcentral lists this long non-coding RNA (677 nucleotides) under Marmota monax (woodchuck). Lineage: Eukaryota; Metazoa; Chordata; Mammalia; Rodentia; Sciuridae. The record is from RNAcentral.